UCAGAAUAUGUCUUCUGUGUCAUGGU
This 26-nucleotide non-coding RNA is filed under the name Homo sapiens (human). Lineage: Eukaryota; Metazoa; Chordata; Mammalia; Primates; Hominidae. The record is from RNAcentral.